AGGACGAGCAAUAAGGGCGAGCGAGGCAAGGGUAGAAAGCAGCGAGGCAAAGGCAGAGAGCAGCGAACAACGACACCAACAAAGGUAGAGAGAGGGCCAGUGGUAGAAGAGAAGAGAAAAGCCGUAAGAGACAUUGUAAGGUGGAAAUACCUCAAGAGGGAUCUCCAAGCAAACCCAAAAUCCUAACCAACUAUUAUAAUAACUAAGGGUACACAACCCUUCACAAAAUUACAGAUUAAGAUAUACCAAAAUAAUUACAGAUUGUAAAUAAUAUACUCACAAAGACAGAAAUAUUUUGCACAAGACUCAGAGAGCCUGAUCCAAUAAGGCCGUGUUUACUACAUGAGAUUAAGCAGUACACCCGGCUCAAUCCCUUACAUUAGUCUGUUUACCUACGAAAUGUGAGACCCGGUAUUUAAAGUGCAAGCUCGGUAUAAUGAUGGAUGAAACGUGGGAUAUGAUUCCGACCAAAAGAGGUGGGAUAUGAUUCCCGACCAGCUAUCCCAUCUUUUACGCUUAGGUGCUUUGCUUUUAAUACCCUUAAGAUAGCUAUGCCAAAUGACGAAUUUAUCCUUCUACACCUACCGACUUAAAUUUGCUAUCACCUUUUCCAUUUAAAGCAGCGUCUUCUUCACCGGUGCAAAAAGAGGCAGAAACGGAAGGGCUUCGACAGAGCAAGCCUCCUUGUUGUCCUAAGAAUCCUCGCCGCAGCAGCCAUUAACGUUGUUGCCGCCAGUCUGCUUCGCAUUCAGUUGUGUUGUUUCUGGUUAGCUCAGGAAUCCCUCGAGAUCUGUAGCUCGGCUGACUCCGAUUAUAGAGGAAUGCGCGGACCCUUGCUGGAGAUGGUUUAAGGGAUAUCUCGGGGCUUUGGAUGGCACGUUCAGUGAUGUGCGAGUACCCGAACAUGAAAAGAGACUGUACCGAACACGCAUAGGUCAAGUGGCCGCGAGCGUACUUGGGGUGUGCAAUCCAACCAUGCAAUUCAUAAAUGUCCUUACCGGCUGGGAGGGGAACGCAGCGGAUAGCCGUGUUUUACGUGAUGUUGUCCACAGACCAGGUGGUCUAAGAGUUCCUACAAGCAAUUACUACUUAUGUGACUACGAGUAUGCAAAUGCCGAAGGUUUCUUAACUCCGUACAAAGGUGUUCACUACCAUCUAAGAGAAUGGGACACUAGUACCGACAGACCGCAGAACCAUCAGGAGUUUUUCAACCUCAAGCAUUCUUCUGCGCGUAACGUGAUUGUGCGUACGUUUGGUCUACUUAAAAUGUGGUGGGGUAUUUUAAGAAGUCAAUCAUUUUACCCCAUAGGUGCAAAAUCAGAUAAUCUUGGCUUGUUGCUUAUUGCACGGUUUUAAGGACUGAAAUGCCUAAUAAUCUGCUAGAAAAUGAGUUACCUAGUCUUGGAGAUGCUGGAACGGAUGUUGAGGUUGGUUGUGUGUGGAAUAUUGACAGCAGCCCCUCAUGGUCUUUUGAAGGGAUACAAUGGCUACAUCCAUGUACAAUGAGUGGACGAGUUGCCUGUGAUGUCACAUGCGAUUGAACAACCUAUAUUUUGCCCUUGUUGCUUAGUGCAUAACACUACCCGAUCCCGAACACAAGUAGGGCAGGUACCCGACCAACGGGUUUGGGUAAUUUUAUGCAAGUUUAAUUUUUUUUUAAUAUUUUAAUUAUGAAGCAAUGAAAUUUUAUUCAUAAAAUAAAUUUCAACGGCAAAG
This is a non-coding RNA of Sesamum indicum (sesame), 1716 nucleotides long. NCBI's taxonomy places the organism in Eukaryota, Viridiplantae, Streptophyta, Magnoliopsida, Lamiales, Pedaliaceae. The record is from RefSeq and is a predicted model, not a curated record.